Molecule: ribosomal RNA, 462 nt
Filed under: uncultured bacterium
Lineage: Bacteria
Description: partial 16S ribosomal RNA
Rfam family: Bacterial small subunit ribosomal RNA
Source: RNAcentral
AACAAACGCUGGCGGCGUGCCUAAUACAUGCAAGUCGAACGGUGAAAGUAGCAAGAGGAGUACUAGGGGCGCACGGGUGAGGAACGCGGGGAGAAUCCGGCCUGAAGAGGGGGAUAACGAGUCGAAAGAUGAGCCAAUACCGCAUAAGACCACAAGAACUGAGGGUCAAGGGGUCAAAGGUCUUUCGCUUCAAGAUGAGUCCGCGUAAGAUUAGCUAGUUGGUGAGGUAAUGGCUCACCAAGGCAACGAUCUGUAACUGGUCUGAGAGGAUGAUCAGUCACGGUGGUGCUGAGAGACCGUCCCGCCUCCUACGGGAGGCAGCAGUAAAGAAUAUUGCACGAUGGCGGACCCUCUGAUGCAGCGCCGCGGCCUGGAUGAUGACCGCCUUCGGGUCGUACAGCUCUGUCGCAGACGAAUCACUCAGUGACUGUACCCUGUGAGAAAGCACCGGCUAACUUCGUG